GAUGAGGUUUUGAUGUUGAUGUGCUGUGCCUUUUUUUCGCCACACAUAGUGUUGUGUGUUUCUUCCAAACAACUCAACUUUGGUUUCACCUGUCCACAGAAUAUUUUGCCAGUACUGCUGUGGAACAUCCAGGUGCUCUUGUGCAAACUGUAAACGUGCAGCAAUGUUUUGUUUGGACAGCAGUGGCUUCCUCUGUGGUAUCCUCCCAUGAAAUCCAUUCUUGUUUAGUGUUUUACGUAUUGUAGAUUCGCUAACAGGGAU
This 261-nucleotide long non-coding RNA is filed under the name Pelobates cultripes (western spadefoot toad). Lineage: Eukaryota; Metazoa; Chordata; Amphibia; Anura; Pelobatidae. The record is from RNAcentral.